UACGGAGACUGCCAAGCGUUAGUCCGGAUUAUUGGGUUUAAAGGGUGCGCAGGUUGUUUGAUAAGUCAGUGGUGAAAGUCUGUCGCUUAACGGUAGGAUUGCCAUUGAUACUGUUAGACUUGAAUAUGGAUGAGGUAGGCGGAAUGUGUAGUGUAGCGGUGAAAUGCAUAGAUAUUACACAGAACACCGAUUGCGAAGGCAGCUUACUAAUCCAUCAUUGACGCUGAGGCACGAAAGCGUGGGGAUCAAACAGGA
RNAcentral lists this ribosomal RNA (255 nucleotides) under uncultured prokaryote. RNAcentral's name for it is "partial 16S ribosomal RNA". It matches the Rfam family "Bacterial small subunit ribosomal RNA", at positions 524 to 777 of the family's 1533-position model. The record is from RNAcentral.